CGCUCAGCUGGGUGCGGGCGCCGGGCCGAUCGGUGCGGCCGGACCGGGCGCCGGGUCGGUGGGCGCGGGUUCGGGCGGCCCGCCGGAGCAGCC
Molecule: transfer RNA, 93 nt
Filed under: Actinocatenispora thailandica
Lineage: Bacteria; Bacillati; Actinomycetota; Actinomycetes; Micromonosporales; Micromonosporaceae
Description: tRNA-Pro
Source: RNAcentral